Long non-coding RNA from Bos taurus (domestic cattle), 468 nucleotides. The record is from Ensembl. Lineage: Eukaryota; Metazoa; Chordata; Mammalia; Artiodactyla; Bovidae.
GGGCUGUAGAUAAACGGUAGGCAGCAGAGGUGAGAUUCAAAUCUGGGACUGUCUGAUUCCCAUGCCUGAGCUCUUAGCACCCAGCUUCAGUAGUUCUGAACUGCAGCAUUACUGCCUGCAAGGCCAACCCACUUCCUAGCCCAGUCACCAGGGCCCUGAGCCACUUCGACCCUGAGGAUCAGAGAUGGCUGUCCCGAUUACCCUACUUUCUUGGUUCCCUGCAGCUUCAGAGGUUGAGGCCUUCAUAGGAUUGAGACCUUCCUCCAGAGGGCCUGGGGCCUGGUGCCCCCAGAAGCUGCUGAAGGAACCAGCCCGCCAGGCUCCUCCGUCCAUGGGAUUAUCCCGGCAAGAAUACUGGAGUGGGUGGCCAUUUCCUCCUCCAGACCCAACACGCCUGGUGUCCUUAUAAGAAGAGAAAAUGUGGAGACAUAAAGAGACACCAAAGAUGCCUACACACAGGGAAAAGAC